AUUGAACGCUGGCGGCAGGCCUAACACAUGCAAGUCGAGCGAGCGGCGGACGGGUGAGUAAUGUCUGGGAAACUGCCUGAUGGCGGGUGAUAACUACUGGAAACGGUAGCUAAUACCGCAUACCAUCAGAUGUGCCCAGAUGGGAGUAGCUAGUAGGUGGUGUAAUGGCUCACCUAGGCGACGAUCCCUAGCUGGUCUGCGAGGAUGACCAGGCACACUGGAACGUGGACACGGUCCAUACUCCUACGGGAGGCAGCAGGGGGGAAUAUUGCAAAAUGGGCGCAAGCCUGAUGCAGCCAUGCCGCGUGUGGGAAGAAGGCCUUCGGGUUGUAAAGCACUUUCAGCGGGGAGGCGUUACCCGCAGAAGAAGCACCGGCUAACUCCGUGCCAGCCGCCGCGGUAAUAC
Molecule: ribosomal RNA, 406 nt
Filed under: uncultured bacterium
Lineage: Bacteria
Description: partial 16S ribosomal RNA
Rfam family: Bacterial small subunit ribosomal RNA
Source: RNAcentral